RNAcentral lists this transfer RNA (74 nucleotides) under Dichanthelium oligosanthes. It matches the Rfam family "tRNA". Rfam says of the family: Transfer RNA (tRNA) molecules are approximately 80 nucleotides in length. Lineage: Eukaryota; Viridiplantae; Streptophyta; Magnoliopsida; Poales; Poaceae. The record is from Rfam by way of RNAcentral.
GGCGGUGUAGCUCAAUUGAUAGAGCACUAUGACAUGCUUCUUAGAUGUCCGGGGUUUAAUUCCUUGCAUCUCCA